This is an RNA transcript of Cavia porcellus (domestic guinea pig), 2813 nucleotides long. It is a transcript of the gene named THAP domain containing 6, with no coding region annotated. The record is from RefSeq and is a predicted model, not a curated record. The transcript is spliced from 6 exons. NCBI's taxonomy places the organism in Eukaryota, Metazoa, Chordata, Mammalia, Rodentia, Caviidae.
CGGCGGAAGUGAACGCGCUGUCGCCGCAGCUAUUCACGGGCGGGGCUGCCGGCCGGCUGUGCCCCGCCGCUGCGGCGCCGACUGGGGAGCUCUCCGUGCCCCGCGCCGCCGGGCGCUCCCGGGCCUUCUCCUGCGCGUGUUUCACUCGGGUACGCGGGAGCUCGGGCCUGUGCCGGCCACCGCGGCGCCGCCGGGACGGACACGCCGCGAUGAACCGCUGAAGUCAUGGUGAAAUGCUGCUCAGCCAUCGGAUGCGCCUCCCGCUGUCUCCCCAACUCCAAGUUGAGAGGGCUGACUUUCCACGCAUUCCCCACAGAUGAAAACAUCAAAAGAAAAUGGGUAUUAGCAAUGAAAAGACUUGAUGUGAAUGCUGCGGGCAUUUGGGAGCCUAAAAAAGGAGAUGUGUUGUGUUCAAGGCACUUUAAGAAGACAGAUUUUGACAGAAGUGCUCCAAAUCUGAAACUGAAACCAGGAGUCAUCCCGUCUGUAUUUGAUUCCCCAUACCACUUACAGCAGGAGAAAAAAGAAAAGCUUCGUUGUAGGAAAAACUUCACCCUCAAAGCCCUUCCCGGCACAAAUGGCGACCACCAGCUUGUCGGUGCUCCCUCGUGUGUUGAUGAAUUCCAGUCCCAGUUCAUCUUUGAACAUAGCUACAGUGUGAUGGACAGCCCGAAGAAACUCAAGCACAAGUUAGAUCAUGUGAUCAGCCAGCUGGAGGACACCCAGGAAAGCCUGCGCAGUGUUCUAGACCGAGAGAAGUACUUCCAGAAAGCGCUGAGGAAAACAGUCAGGGACCUGAAGGACGAAUGUCUCAUCAGCCAGGAAACAGCAGAGAGGCUGGACGUGUUCUGCUGGGAGCCUCCCGGGGAGGGCGCCGAGCAGAGUGGCCCUGCAAGGUAGCCCUGGAGGGAUUUUGGAAGAUGCGUGGUGGUUUAGUGCUUGGUGUCGCUUGUGAUUCUUACGUUUUAUGUAGACUUUAACUGGCACCACUGUUUACUAUCGUGAGAUGCGAAACUCUUAAGAAAGCUCCACAGAGAUAAGGAAAUUCUGUUACCCACGCUAAACUCUGGUGGGAACCAGAUGUCCUGCAGCCCCAGCAGUUUUCGUGUCCAGUGAUUACCUUCCUUACUUGCUGCAUGGCACAUCAAGAAGCCUGUCCAGUGGCAUAUCCAACGUAACAACCCAUCACACCUGCUGCUUCCGGAGCUCCACACCACUGUGAGGACGUGAAGAUAAGUUGGGGAGAUGCAGUCUCACCCCAGCCCACCAGGCCUGCACAGGACAGUUCCUAGACAGUGGGUGGGUGCUGGGGCCAGCCCAUGCAGAGGCUGGGAAACUAACAGAGCCUCAGCUCUACACACAAGCGUGUCAGGGUCUCUGUACUCAUCAGAUGUGAGAGCAGGAGACCAGAUCACCUAGGUGGCAAUCAAACAGCCUUGGUUCAAAUCCCAGAACUGCCACUGGCCAAUGGGCCACCUCACCACCUGGAUGUGUUUCAAUCAUUCAGUUUUAUACCCUGAACAGGGCUACUCAAAGUGGGGUUCACAGACCAGCGUGCAAGUGAAAAGGUUGACAGAGGGGAGCCCAGCUCCAUCGGAAGCACAUGCUUAGCUCAGGCCACACUGUCCUGAUUCCAAGACCUUCUUGGCUGACCCUGAAGACAAGCACCUCACUCCCUUGGGACCUGUCCAGUGGUGCCGACAGUCAGCUGUUCUGAGCGUCUGUCUCACAACACCAGGGUCGCUCCCACUCCACCCCACCACACCAUCUCCAGCCCUGCCCAAGCUGUGGCUUGCAGUCAGCAGGCAGCACUGGCACUCCUGACAGGGCUGUGGCAGAGAAUGAAAUUCCCAGCUCCCUGCGCAGAGCCUGGGUGAAGAGCUGAGGUCAUACCUGACUCAGCAGGUGGGGCCUCCUGCUUCUGAGAAGAGGGGGUUCCUGACCCAGUGAAUCAGGUAUGCAAGCUGUCGGGACACUGCACGGCACCAGUGUGACCACCUCCUCGGUACAGCGCUCUGCUGAGACCUGCAGCAAAUGGCUUAGCACCCAGUUUCAACCAAAACAAAGGCCACUGCCACUUGCUAGAAGGAGAGAUUUGAUCAUGGUGCGCCAGGUCGCCGGUGCACAGCUGACCUGACAUCUGGAGGAUGUUAAAACUUUCUGGCUGCCCCUCUUACUAUCACACUUAAGAGUAGGGAACAUCUUACACUUUGAGAUCCCACACACCUUCCAAGGGUAGUCGUCACCAUCAUCUGGCCAGACAUGAACUGCCUGAUAGGAAACGGCACCGGCUAGAAACUGAAUGUGAUGAUCCAGAGGGCCAGGCUCACCAGGGCACCAGAGACCCUCAAAUCCAAGACUGACAUGCAAGCUCAUUCUAUACGUUAAAACUAAAAGUCUUUCACAAGUUAUUUGUAAAGGAAACUGAUGGCAGUUACAUUGGCUGUGAGGACUGUUUGUGAGAACCCAAAUCUCUCUCUCUUUUUUGUUUCGUUUUGUUUUUGUUUUUUUGUUUUUUUGAAAUAGGAUCUCACUAUGCAGUUCAGGCUGACCUUGAGCUCACUUUGUAGCACAGGCUGGUCUGGAACUCCCAAUGAUCCUCCUGCCUCAGCCUCCUAAGUGCUGGGAUUAAAGGUGUGCUCCACCACGCCUGGCCAGAACCUAAAUCUCUAUCAGGUGGGAAAUGAGUGAAGCUGUGCUGAGCCAGGCAAAUGAGAAGCAGCAGCUCCAGAGAAAGCCAUCAAUCUGUAUGCAAUGGCCAUGGGAAGAAAUACGCAUUUCAAACAGAAAAAUGCAACUUAAUGGGCAACUCA